UGGCUCAGGAUGAACGCUAGCGGCAGGCCUAAUACAUGCAAGUCGAACGAUAUCAUCCAGCUUGCUGGAUGAGAAAGUGGCGCACGGGUGCGUAACGCGUAUGCAACCUACCUUAAUCAGGGGGAUAGCCCGGAGAAAUCCGGAUUAAUACCGCAUAAAAUCACAGUCCCACCUGGGACAAUGAUCAAACAUUUAUGGGAUUGAGAUGGGCAUGCGUGUCAUUAGCUAGUUGGCGGGGUAACGGCCCACCAAGGCGACGAUGACUAGGGGAUCUGAGAGGAUGGCCCCCCACACUGGUACUGAGACACGGACCAGACUCCUACGGGAGGCAGCAGUAAGGAAUAUUGGUCAAUGGAGGCAACUCUGAACCAGCCAUGCCGCGUGCAGGAAGACUGCCCUAUGGGUUGUAAACUGCUUUUAUCCGGGAAUAAACCUCUUUACGUGUAAAGAGCUGAAUGUACCGGAAGAAUAAGGAUCGGCUAACUCCGUGCCAGCAGCCGCGGUAAUACGGAGGAUCCAAGCGUUAUCCGGAUUUAUUGGGUUUAAAGGGUGCGUAGGCGGCCUGUUAAGUCAGGGGUGAAAGACGGUAGCUCAACUAUCNNANAGCCCUNNNUACUGAUGGGCUUGAAUGGACUAGAGGUAGGCGNNGNUNNNNNNNNNAGNNNUNNNNNNNAUAGAUAUGUCUCAGA
Molecule: ribosomal RNA, 689 nt
Filed under: Pedobacter alluvionis
Lineage: Bacteria; Pseudomonadati; Bacteroidota; Sphingobacteriia; Sphingobacteriales; Sphingobacteriaceae
Description: partial 16S ribosomal RNA
Rfam family: Bacterial small subunit ribosomal RNA
Source: RNAcentral